Molecule: microRNA precursor, 127 nt
Filed under: Myotis lucifugus (little brown bat)
Lineage: Eukaryota; Metazoa; Chordata; Mammalia; Chiroptera; Vespertilionidae
Description: mir-9193 microRNA precursor family
Rfam family: mir-9193 microRNA precursor family
Source: Rfam by way of RNAcentral
CAUGCACCGGUGGGGUCUCUUGGCCUGGCCUGUGCCCUCUCGCAAUCCGGGACCCCUUGGGGGAUGUCAGACGGCUGGUUUCGGCUCGAUCUUCACAGGCCAGGCCAAGGGACCCCACCGGUGCACA